AAUUUCUCCCAGGAAGCAUUACAUUUAUAAAAAAAAAUGUUUGUACUGUAAAAUUCAGAAUUGUGCCCUUUUCAACAAAAUCAUACUUAGCUCAUCGAAUUAGGGUUAUUUGGAAAUUCUAUUCAUUGACUACAAAACACUGUAAUAAGAAUGAUUGAUUUCUUGGCGGAUAUAGGAGCAUGGCCAUGACAUAUGUUUAUAAUAGUUUAAAAAACCUGAGUCAUUGGUCAAAUUUUGAAGCCAAUUGAAGUCUUAUGCACAAUCAUAAACCUUGAAUGUGUUUAUUUUAGUACAUACAUGUUUUGUAAUGAUGUCUGGUGCACAUGUCUUGUUGUUAUUUAUUUCUCUAUUUAUUUCAUGUGAGAUAACUUCUCGGGUAGCUGGCAGAAGGGCGUUAGCAUUCAGAGUGCUACAUAUUUCCCAAAAGCUAUGACUGGGGGUAAAAAUGAUGAAACACCAGGAACGUCACAGCGUGACGGACAUGUAUGCUAGACCAAUAGGCACCCUCAGCAAA
Long non-coding RNA from Strongylocentrotus purpuratus (purple sea urchin), 514 nucleotides. RefSeq lists it as uncharacterized. The transcript has 2 exons. The record is from RefSeq and is a predicted model, not a curated record. NCBI's taxonomy places the organism in Eukaryota, Metazoa, Echinodermata, Echinoidea, Camarodonta, Strongylocentrotidae.